This 425-nucleotide ribosomal RNA is filed under the name uncultured bacterium. Its description in RNAcentral is "bacterial SSU rRNA". It matches the Rfam family "Bacterial small subunit ribosomal RNA", at positions 354 to 796 of the family's 1533-position model. The record is from RNAcentral.
GUUAGGAAUAUUGGACAAUGGGCGAAAGCCUGAUCCAGCCAUGCCGCGUGAACGAUGAAGGCCUUCGGGUUGUAAAGUUCUUUAGCCGAUGAUUAUAAUGACUGUAGUCGGAAAAUAAGCCCCGGCUAACUUCGUGCCAGCAGCCGCGGUAAUACGAAGGGGGCGAGCGUUAUUCGGAAUCACUGGGCGUAAAGCGUGCGUAGGCGGUUUUGUAAGUUAGGAGUGAAAGCCCAGGGCUCAACCUUGGAAUUGCUCUUAAAACUGCAAGGCUCGAAUCUCGGAGAGGAUAGCGGAAUUUCCAGUGUAGCAGUGAAAUGCGUAGAUAUUGGAAGGAACACCAGUGGCGUAAGCGGCUAUCUGGACGAGUAUUGACGCUGAGGCACGAAAGCGUGGGGAUCAAACAGGAUUAGAUACCCGAGUAGUCC